GCUCAGCCGUAAACUUAGACAUCCAACUACAAUAGAUGUCCGCCAGGGUACUACGAGCAUUAGCUUAAAACCCAAAGGACCUGACGGUGUCUCAGAUCCCCCUAGAGGAGCCUGUUCUAGAACCGAUAACCCCCGUUCAACCUCACCACUUCUAGCCAACCCAGCCUAUAUACCGCCGUCGUCAGCUUACCCUGUGAAGGUAAUAAAAGUAAGCAAAAUGGGUACAACCCAAAACGUCAGGUCGAGGUGUAGCGCAUGGAGUGGGAAGAAAUGGGCUACAUUUUCUAACAUAGAAUAUUACGAACAUGCACCAUGAAACAGUGCUUGAAGGAGGAUUUAGUAGUAAAAGGGAAAUAGAGUGUCCCUUUGAACCCGGCUCUGAGACGCGU
RNAcentral lists this ribosomal RNA (389 nucleotides) under Carassius auratus (goldfish). RNAcentral's name for it is "partial 12S ribosomal RNA". It matches the Rfam family "Bacterial small subunit ribosomal RNA", at positions 794 to 1384 of the family's 1533-position model. Lineage: Eukaryota; Metazoa; Chordata; Actinopteri; Cypriniformes; Cyprinidae. The record is from RNAcentral.